UAAACGGCGUUGACGAAGAGUAGUAAUUUAUAUGGACUCUAUUAGAGAGCUGGUGGUUGGUGAGAACCAGUGAGAACAUGUGAAUGAAUGGACUUCUGAGCUUCCAAACCGAAAAUCUAAUGGAACAGUAGGCUUUGGCGAAUGUCUUAUCGUUACAAGAGACGGAUAUUAAGCUUGAAAUUCAAGCUCGAUAUUGUCAAAGUGAGCUGUUUGUCAGCUAAUAAAGGUGGUACCACGGGUUCCUCGUCCUUUUG
RNAcentral lists this non-coding RNA (254 nucleotides) under Bacillus sp. (in: firmicutes). Its description in RNAcentral is "Bacillus sp. T-box sequence". It matches the Rfam family "T-box leader". From Rfam's summary of the family: Uncharged tRNA acts as the effector for transcription antitermination of genes in the T-box leader family. T-boxes are found upstream of many aminoacyl-tRNA synthetase genes and some amino acid biosynthetic genes usually in Gram-positive bacteria. The record is from RNAcentral. Lineage: Bacteria; Bacillati; Bacillota; Bacilli; Caryophanales; Bacillaceae.